This 45-nucleotide non-coding RNA is filed under the name Schistosoma mansoni. The record is from RNAcentral. Lineage: Eukaryota; Metazoa; Platyhelminthes; Trematoda; Strigeidida; Schistosomatidae.
AUCCAGUUGACGAGUCCCAAAUAGGAUGAAACGUGCGUCCUGAAU